Molecule: small RNA, 66 nt
Filed under: Gracilibacillus massiliensis
Lineage: Bacteria; Bacillati; Bacillota; Bacilli; Caryophanales; Bacillaceae
Source: RNAcentral
ACUGCAACCGCGCAGAACAGGUUUUAAAAGCUUGUUAAAAGCUACCUGUAUGGCGAGUCUGAGUUA